AGGGAUUAGGGGACUACUGAGGCUCUGGAGAUGAGACCGCCAGGAGUCCUUCCCCACCAUGAGCCCCCUCCACUCCUGCAGCUGGAGGAGUUUUUCCCAGUCUCAGUGCUGCCCUGGGGCGAGAGAGACUGAACAAGCUGUUUGGGUGGGAAGAGAAUGGAGGAAGUUGACAGGGAUGGGCGGGGCCCGUGGGGGGGCUGACCAGGAACCCAGCUUCCUGCUCAGUACCCAGGCAUCCAGCCCCCAGCUCACCCCCACCCCUUCCAGCCCCCACUCCCCUCAGGAACCCAAGGUUCCAGCCCUCCUCCCAAAUCCCAGCCACCCCUCCCCCACCAGUUUCUCCCCUCUAGGGGAUGGAGGCUGAGAGACCCCAGGAAGAAGAGGAUGACUGAACUCCUUCUGGACCUGGUGGCUGAAGCCCAGUCCCGCCGCCUGGAGGAGCAGAGGGCCACCUUCUACACCCCCCAAAACCCCUCAAGCCUAGCCCCUGCCCCACUCCGUCCUCUCGAGGACAGAGAACAGCUUUACAGCACUAUCCUCAGUCACCAGUGCCAGCGGAUGGAAGCCCAGCGGUCAGAGCCUCCCCUCCCUCCAGGGGGGCAAGAGCUCCUGGAGUUGCUGCUGAGAGUUCAGGGUGGGGGUCGAAUGGAGGAGCAAAGGUCCCGGCCCCCCACACACACCUGCUGAGACUUGAGCCCCAACCAGCCCUUCCUUGCCACUGGUCUCAAAGCUGGGCAGCCCAUUGCAUGCCCUCAACUCUUGCUUGGCAGGGGUACCAGAGACUGAAAGACACGGCACAAAUCUCAAUAUUCAUCUCCCACAUCACCUUCCCUGGGAACUGGACAGGGUGAAAGUCCUCAAACUCUGGGAACAGGCGAGAUGGAACAGGGAUUUAACUCCCCGCCCACAGGUCCAUGGGAGCUUGAGGCAGUAAGGGGGAUCCCAGGCACCCAUCUCAAGGAGUGGCUGGGAGUCUUUUCCCUAACUUGUGGGGACACCACCAGUUGUCAAGCUACUAGGCAGUAGGGUCUGAGGGCUCAGGCCUCCACCUGAGAGGUUAUAACCUGAGAGACAGCUCUACCCUUCCUCCCAGUAAGAAGGGAAGGUGGGUGGGCACCUGAGAGAUUAAGACUAUUCUCCCAGUCCCACUACCAGCACCCCCGAUCCCUGAGACUGAGGGGUUUACGGGCUGUGAAUGGACCUUCAGCCCUG
RNAcentral lists this long non-coding RNA (1212 nucleotides) under Homo sapiens (human). Its description in RNAcentral is "HSALNT0104800". Lineage: Eukaryota; Metazoa; Chordata; Mammalia; Primates; Hominidae. The record is from RNAcentral.